This 485-nucleotide ribosomal RNA is filed under the name uncultured Anoxybacillus sp. RNAcentral's name for it is "bacterial SSU rRNA". It matches the Rfam family "Bacterial small subunit ribosomal RNA", at positions 901 to 1382 of the family's 1533-position model. The record is from RNAcentral. Lineage: Bacteria; Bacillati; Bacillota; Bacilli; Caryophanales; Anoxybacillaceae.
UUAAAGGAAUUGACGGGGCCCGCACAAGCGGUGGAGCAUGUGGUUUAAUUCGAUGCAACGCGAAGAACCUUACCAGGUCUUGACAUCCCCUGACCAACCCGAGAGAUCGGGCGUUCCCCCUUCGGGGGGACAGGGUGACAGGUGGUGCAUGGUUGUCGUCAGCUCGUGUCGUGAGAUGUUGGGUUAAGUCCCGCAACGAGCGCAACCCUCGACCUUAGUUGCCAGCAUUCAGUUGGGCACUCUAAGGUGACUGCCGGCUAAAAGUCGGAGGAAGGUGGGGAUGACGUCAAAUCAUCAUGCCCCUUAUGACCUGGGCUACACACGUGCUACAAUGGGCGGUACAAAGGGUCGCGAACCCGCGAGGGGGAGCCAAUCCCAAAAAGCCGCUCUCAGUUCGGAUUGGAGUCUGCAACUCGACUCCAUGAAGCCGGAAUCGCUAGUAAUCGUGGAUCAGCAUGCCACGGUCGAAUACGUUCCCGGGCCUU